RNAcentral lists this ribosomal RNA (253 nucleotides) under uncultured bacterium. RNAcentral describes it as "partial 16S ribosomal RNA". It matches the Rfam family "Bacterial small subunit ribosomal RNA", at positions 524 to 776 of the family's 1533-position model. The record is from RNAcentral.
UACGGAGGGUGCGAGCGCUAUCCGGAAUUACUGGGUUUAAAGGGUGCGGAGGCGGCUUGGUAAGUCAGGAGUGAAACUUUGCAGCUCAACUGUAAAAUUGCUUUUGAUACUGCCGAGCUGGAAUCAGGAUGAGGUCAGCGGAAUGUGGCAUGUAGCGGUGAAAUGCAUAGAUAUGCCAUAGAACACCAAUUGCGAAGGCAGCUGGCUAGAACUGUAUUGGCGCUGAGGCACGAAAGCGUGGGGAGAGAACAGG